CCGACGCCUCCAUCUUUAGUCUUCACCAUCUCCUCGUCGUCGACCAGCACCGCCACCGCCGUCGACCUAGCCACCGCCGUCGACCCAGCCGCCGCCGAACACCAGCUCCGCCUACGCCGCCGUCGAUCUAUCCACUGUCGCUGCCAUCCGACACCACAGGCGACCCAGCCACGCUCGCUGCCAUCCGCCUACACCGUUCCCCGUUGACCCAGCCGCUCUACAACAGAUCUGAAGCCACAAGCGACGCCGCCGCCUUCCUUCGCCAAAGCUGCCAUCCGACGCCACCACCUCCCUUCCUCCGCUGGUACUCCCCCACUCGCGAGCGCCAAACGCCACCGCCACCGCCACCACCGCGGAACUGCCUCACUAGCUGGAGCUACCGUCCUUCACCAGCUGCCACGAAUGAAUUCAUUGUUGCUGGUGGAAAAGGUGAACCUGCUGAAGUAAUGUCCAAAUAUGGUUUCCAGUAAGAGUUUGGAUUUCAUCCCAUCUGUUUGUAAAUUCCAGUUUCCCUACUCUCUGAGAAAGUGCAAGCAGUCUUUGUUGGUAGUGAUUCAAUUGAUUGGAGCAGUGACAUUCAGAGUAUUAUAUUUUUGCUUAGACUUUAGUUGGCUAGUAUUACUUACUAAAUGUAAAUGUAGAGAUUGAUAAUGUAAUUUUGGAAUUGUAAUUUCUUAGUGUUUGUAUUGAUUAUUGAGAGUUACAGUUUGUAAAAA
This is a long non-coding RNA of Ipomoea triloba (trilobed morning glory), 716 nucleotides long. RefSeq lists it as uncharacterized. The record is from RefSeq and is a predicted model, not a curated record. NCBI's taxonomy places the organism in Eukaryota, Viridiplantae, Streptophyta, Magnoliopsida, Solanales, Convolvulaceae. The transcript has 2 exons.